CUGUGAGCUCGAUGAGUAGGGCGGGACACGUGGUAUCCUGUCUGAAUAUGGGGGGACCAUCCUCCAAGGCUAAAUACUCCUGACUGACCGAUAGUGAACCAGUACCGUGAGGGAAAGGCGAAAAGAACCCCGGCGAGGGGAGUGAAAAAGAACCUGAAACCGUGUACGUACAAGCAGUGGGAGCCUCUUUUAUGGGGUGACUGCGUACCUUUUGUAUAAUGGGUCAGCGACUUAUAUUCUGUAGCAAGGUUAACCGAAUAGGGGAGCCGAAGGGAAACCGAGUCUUAACUGGGCGUUAAGUUGCAGGGUAUAGACCCGAAACCCGGUGAUCUAGCCA
This 337-nucleotide ribosomal RNA is filed under the name Escherichia coli. RNAcentral describes it as "partial 23S ribosomal RNA". It matches the Rfam family "Bacterial large subunit ribosomal RNA", at positions 397 to 736 of the family's 2925-position model. Lineage: Bacteria; Pseudomonadati; Pseudomonadota; Gammaproteobacteria; Enterobacterales; Enterobacteriaceae. The record is from RNAcentral.